This is a transfer RNA of 81 nucleotides. It matches the Rfam family "tRNA". Rfam says of the family: Transfer RNA (tRNA) molecules are approximately 80 nucleotides in length. Their secondary structure includes four short double-helical elements and three loops (D, anti-codon, and T loops).
UCCGGAAUGGUGUAGUGGCUAGCAUUUCUGCCUCUCAAUACAGAUACGCAGGAGACCGGGGUUCAAUUCCCCGUUUCGGAA